CAGCCGCCGCGGUAAUACAGAGGGUGCAAGCGUUAACCGGAAUUACUGGGCGUAAAGCGCGCGUAGGUGGUUCGCCAAGUUGGAUGUGAAAUCCCCGGGCUCAACCUGGGAACUGCAUCCAAAACUGGCGAGCUAGAGUAUGGUAGAGGGUGGUGGAAUUUCCUGUGUAGCGGUGAAAUGCGUAGAUAUAGGAAGGAACAUCAGUGGCGAAGGCGACCACCUGGACUGAUACUGACACUGAGGUGCGAAAGCGUGGGGAGCAAACAGGAUUAGAUACCCCGGUAGUCCCUGUCUCUUAUAC
Molecule: ribosomal RNA, 301 nt
Filed under: uncultured bacterium
Lineage: Bacteria
Description: partial 16S ribosomal RNA
Rfam family: Bacterial small subunit ribosomal RNA
Source: RNAcentral